GACGAACGCUGGCGGCGUGCUUAACACAUACAAGUCGAACGGAAAGGCCCUGCGUUUGUUGGUUUCUCGAUUGGCGAACGGGUGAGUAACACGUGAGUAACCUGCCCUUGUCUUUGGGAUAACUUCUGGGAACUGGGGCUAAUACCGCAUAUGAGCUCCUGCUGCAUGGUGUGGUUUGGUAAGUUUUGGCGUUUGGGGAUGGACUCGCGGCUUAUCAGCUUGUUUGUGUGGUAGUGGCUUACCAAGGCUUUGACGGGUAGCCGGCCUGAGAGGGUGACCAGCCACAUUGGGACUGAGAUACGGACCAGAAGCCUACGGGCGGCAGCAGUGGGGAAUAUUGCACAAUGGGCGGAAGCCUGAUGCAGCAACGCCGCGUGCGGGAUGACGGCCUUCGGGUUGUAAACAGCUUUCGACUGUGACGAAGCGUGAGUGACGGUAAUGAGUAAAGAAGCACCGGCUAACUACGUG
Molecule: ribosomal RNA, 468 nt
Filed under: uncultured bacterium
Lineage: Bacteria
Description: partial 16S ribosomal RNA
Rfam family: Bacterial small subunit ribosomal RNA
Source: RNAcentral